This is a ribosomal RNA of Sinocyclocheilus anshuiensis, 124 nucleotides long. The record is from Ensembl. NCBI's taxonomy places the organism in Eukaryota, Metazoa, Chordata, Actinopteri, Cypriniformes, Cyprinidae.
ACCACAGCCUUAUCAACCUGCAAGACUGGUUGGGCAAGAGUACAGCCCACUGAAGCUAAUCAGGGUUGAGCCUGGUCAGUACCUGGAUUGGAGACCUCCUGGGAAAACUAUGUUGCUGCUGGAA